AAAGGCUUGGUUAGGCGGAAAACCAAAAAUGAUGGGCAGAAGGCUCUAUCAAUUGUCAUGGCUUCCGUCCAUCUUCAGAAUCGCCACAAGUCAAGGAUUCUCCAAUGCAGGCAAUCCGUUUCGUAAUGGCUCAGCUUUCUCCCAUCUCCUUCAAGCCCAAGCAUCGAGAUCAUAUGCUCGCAGUAGACAUUACUAUGAUCUAUUUAAGGGUCGUGUACCUGGAGCCAAGGAAUUCAGGAAAACUUGGGCUAAAGAAAUGGAAGAUGAGGAUAACUGUUUAUGGACUGGAAGUGAGGACGAGAGUGAGCCCGAAAAUGGACCGAGUUCUUUGAAGAAGGAAAUCAGAAAGGCCAAACAGCGAGCUAAAGAACACUCAGAUCGAAUUGAUGCAGAUGACAGUGAUGAACUAAGAAGUGUGUGGUCUGGUAGUGAUGAAGAGAAGACGUUGUGGACUGGUAGCGAAGGAGAUGAUGAUGAUGACAUUCCUACAGAAGCGUACCCGAACGAGAAGAGUGAUGAGUAUAUAGAUAAACUGUUUGAGUUUGAUGAAAAGCCAAAGUAUCGAACGCUCUCAGAGGCUUUAAAAGACGAGGAGGAACCAGAAGAGUUAUCGCCCGGAAAGCAAGCUAGGAAGCUUGCAGUUGAAAAUGCCCUUAAGAAAUUGAAGAAAGGACCUGAUGGUAGAUACACCAAUGUGUGGGAGGUCAUGAGCGAUCUGGACAUUCUAAUUGGGGCUUUUGAGAACAUCAUUUCAGGGCCAGAAUAUGCUGAACUCAGGCAGGGGGGACCUAGGAAGUUGAAUAUGCAGUUUUUUAAGGACAUUCAAGCUCGCAUGAGAGAUCCAAACUAUAAAUUCUCUCCCGAACUCAAGUUAAAACCGAAGAGCAAAGUGGUACCGAGAAAGAAGUGGCAGAAGGUAGAAUCUAGACGUAGAAAAGCCCGGAAGCGCUAGCUAAGCUGUAGCCUUUUCUAGGCAUCCAAACUUUUGUAGGUGACUGAAGAAAUGGAGCUGGCAUUUGUAGAAUUUAAUGCAGAAAAGUGUUUCAGCUUUAAUUUGAGAAUACUUGUUCUUGCAGGGACAAAAGCUCUGCAUGUUUGCCUGAUUUCACUAGCCUCAUGAUCACUAUUUCAGCAUCAACAUUCCCAGAUACUGUAACCUUCUGCUCUUCAACAUCCAUGCUCACCUGAUAAACCCCUGAGUAAAAAGUAAAAACCCCACACAACACUAUAGUUUAGGCAACCAAAGAAUGGCCUUUUUUUAGGAGUACUAAAGUAGAACAUGGAAGAUGGAACAAGAAGGUUUCAUACCUUCAAUCUUCUUGAGGAGUUUCUUCACUUUCUUCCUGCACCCUACACAGUUAAUCUGAACUUUGAGAACAUGGGUCUGCAAAAACAAGAAGAAAAGGACAGAAUCAGAGAGGCAAAUGAGAAAAGUGAAGAUGGGCAUAACUUUGUAUAAAGGAAGGGAAUGUGAGUGUGACCUGAAUCUUCAGAAACUCAAUUUCAUCAAUAGCAGACAUUGCUAGCAGUGGUUUAGUUGCUUUGUUCUCUUUUGGCAAAUGAAGGGUGUAUUGCUUCUCCCUACUUUUAGAAUAGCUUGUUUAUACUGCAAUGAUAUUACAUUAUUUUGCCACACUAA
RNA transcript from Ipomoea triloba (trilobed morning glory), 1639 nucleotides. RefSeq lists it as uncharacterized. Lineage: Eukaryota; Viridiplantae; Streptophyta; Magnoliopsida; Solanales; Convolvulaceae. The record is from RefSeq and is a predicted model, not a curated record. The transcript has 4 exons.